This 773-nucleotide long non-coding RNA is filed under the name Marmota monax (woodchuck). The record is from RNAcentral. Lineage: Eukaryota; Metazoa; Chordata; Mammalia; Rodentia; Sciuridae.
GCCAAAAGGCAAAAUUGAACUUGACCUCCACAGGUCUUUUUACUGCAUUUGAAAUUAUUUAUUGUUCAUUGUCUUAUUCUAUAUUUAUAUAUAUUUUUUUUAAAUUUGAAGCUUGUGCCUUUUCGCAUCUAUUUAGAUAGACUAGGCCAUGGCAAGCCUUGAGAGACAGUACCCAUUUGCUUCUAAUAUUAAAUCCUUGCAUUUCUUUCCAAUUGAAUAUAAAAGUAACCAACAGUGCUUUGUGUUAUAGUGACACCUGGUGGUACUUUUGUUUUAGCUUUUGUUUUUGAAAAUCUUAUUUUGUCUAGAACAUCUCUUGGAAUGAAUAUUUUAUCCAUUAGGAUGUGUCUUAAGAGGCUGCUCCCUUCCUGGCUCUCAUCCUCUUUUGUAGAAGAGAUUGUGUGGCCAGAAACCAUGCAGGAGACAACCAAUAUACCCUAUAUUUCUACCUUUGGCUUGAGAAAAAUCUAUGCCCUGUGUACAGGGGGAAAUUAAGGCCAAAAGAAUGAAGUUAUUUUUACAUGGUAAUAUUAGAAGUAUUUGUGCUGAUAUUUUAUGACAUGAAGUAUUUCUGAGGAUGUGUACUUUUUGAGAACAUACCUGGCACACACCAUAAUGCACAUAGUAUUUUAUUUUAUCAUUUUAUAAAAGCCAAGACAGAACUCUAGAGUACCCAAAGUCACAAGUUAAUCAACUUGGUUAAAUCUCGAGGGAAUCCAGAAUUUUUAAGUGAACUCUAUAUUUUAAUUUGGACAAUGAGAAAAUUUACAAUU